GUUUUAAUAAUUUAAUUUAAAAUAUUGGUCUUGUAAAUCAAAAAUAAGUGUUUAUCUUUUAAAACU
This 66-nucleotide transfer RNA is filed under the name Macrima straminea. RNAcentral describes it as "tRNA-Thr". Lineage: Eukaryota; Metazoa; Arthropoda; Insecta; Coleoptera; Chrysomelidae. The record is from RNAcentral.